GAUUGCCAUUACCCAGAUGGAUUUGAUCAGGGAAGUGUUUGCAUACCAGGUUUGCACUACCAGCCCGCUCUGACCAAAGGUCCUUCUUGACACUGAAAUUCUGCGGGGAUCGUGCACUUCCACAGCAAACUUUUUCUCACGGAAAUAGAGGUUUUCCAGCUGCUUCCAUUGGAAUAGUUUUCUGGGCUUAACUUUGUCUUGUAAGUCGUACUGGCCUAUCCCUUUA
Molecule: long non-coding RNA, 226 nt
Filed under: Gallus gallus (chicken)
Lineage: Eukaryota; Metazoa; Chordata; Aves; Galliformes; Phasianidae
Source: RNAcentral